This 24-nucleotide unclassified non-coding RNA is filed under the name Arabidopsis thaliana (thale cress). Lineage: Eukaryota; Viridiplantae; Streptophyta; Magnoliopsida; Brassicales; Brassicaceae. The record is from RNAcentral.
GAGGACACCAUCCAUAGAUAGCAA